GACGAACCGUGCGAACGUUAUUCGGAUUCACUGGGCUUAAAGGGCGCGUAGGCGGCCGAGCAAGUCCGGGGUGAAAUCUUUCGGCUCAACCGGAAAAGUGCCUUGGAUACUGCUCGCCUUGAGUGAGGUAGGGGCAUGUGGAACUUCCGGUGGAGCGGUGAAAUGCGUUGAUAUCGGAAGGAACGCCGGUGGCGAAAGCGACGUGCUGGCCCUCAACUGACGCUGAGGCGCGAAAGCCAGGGGAGCAAACGGG
This 253-nucleotide ribosomal RNA is filed under the name uncultured bacterium. RNAcentral's name for it is "partial 16S ribosomal RNA". It matches the Rfam family "Bacterial small subunit ribosomal RNA", at positions 524 to 776 of the family's 1533-position model. The record is from RNAcentral.